This is a long non-coding RNA of Clupea harengus (Atlantic herring), 2686 nucleotides long. Lineage: Eukaryota; Metazoa; Chordata; Actinopteri; Clupeiformes; Clupeidae. The record is from Ensembl.
CUCUGAGGAACCACAGCACUGAUCUGAGGAUAGAGACAGCAGCCAGCAGACCAGGCCAAUUAAAUAGAAAAAGUAAAUAAUGUUAACUUACAUACUACUCCACAGCUGAAUUAAUUAGAAUUAAUAAAAAUAUGUAAAAAAUAAAGAACGAAGCAGGUUCACUUUAAUUUGUUUUAUUUCUGAUCAAAUUAUGAUGCUCAACAGUCCAUAUGAUGGUUAGGUUCUAAAACUAAAAACUAUAAAAAUAUCACUGAGCACAAUAACAACAGACAUGGUUUUCUAUGUUUACUAGUUUAUUGGGAAUAUAAACAAAGACCUCACCGUCAACUUAAUCACAACCAGUUCAAGUAACCCUCAAUACCCUGAAGUGGUCAAUGUACAUAAAGUAUGACCAAAAUCCCUCCCAAAUGGCACAGAUACUGUCAGUGUAAACAGCACAAAAGCACAUGGAACAUAUAUUUUUUCAGAUCCAAUCUUCCUGCAGUGUAAACACAGACAAAAAAGACCAACUGCAGAAUAAAAACGAUCCCAUCUCACAAAACAAAACACCAAAAACAUUUUCAUUAGCAUUUCAGUGCUCUAGUUUUAAACGGUCAUUUAAAAAAAAUCAACUAUGAUUUUAUGAAUUAUUUCCGUUUUUUUUAUUAAACCAAUUUGUCAAGUUCACAAUGUAGAUCCUUGAAUACUCAUCUUAGGCUGAAUUAUGACCAAACCCUCCGUCAGAUUGUUAAAUCACUUGAAUUAAUCACAUAACACAUUUCUUCAUUUAUAGAUUUUGUCAUUAAGCACAUAAUGCAUGUCACUCUGCAUUUCUUGUGUAGGUUAUUUCUUUUCAAUCAAAUUCUUUCCAUUUUGCACUAGAAUAUUUCCUCUCACUCACUCAAACAGUGGGUCAGUGUUAAAUCAGGAUUGGUGAUUCUAAAUUCAGAAUACAAUUUGAAAAGUUGCAUUAAGGUUCAUAUUAAAGUUGAUAGAGAAGACAUAAAGCUUGGUAAGUCAGACAUGUGAUUAGUUUUUUUAAAACAUAGAUAGGAACACAAGAAAGAAUGGCAACAAUAUCACACAAACUUCAGCUUCAUUCUACAGUUAUUGCUUUUCCAACCAGCAGUACAAAGACUUUCAAAAAGCACAGGAGUAACUGUGGAAAGAAAUACACCCUACUUAACAGUACUGUCACCUAUCAUCUUGGGUUAGUUGUUCUCUCAUAAAUUCUAUUCAAUUCUGUUUGCCUACAUAGCGAUACAAACAGCAAACGUCUCCAGGGGCUUUAUAGCACACAGAGCCUGAGGAAGCACAGAAGUGACAAUGGCAAGGAACUCUUAGCUUUUAACAAGAAUCCUUGAGCCGCAGACAUCCCCCUAACAAAGACUUUUAACAUAUAUAAUAACGCUGGAGUCUUUCGCUGAUCGGAACUUUGGGGAUACCAGGAUCCUGGUUGUCUCGGUCUGCUCUCACCACACUAUUGCACUCCUAUCUGGUAGGGGGCGCCCUCUGUCUGCUUCAGUCACAGACUGUCACAGGAUCAAAUGAGAGCCUGGUGCAAAAGGUCACAGCACAGUACUUCUCAUGAAAACUCAGUUUGGUCCAGUUCGGCAACACACAUCUGUUUACAAACAGUCCUUACUCUUAUUCCUAAAAAACUAAAGGCACUUUGGGAAUUAUAGGUUAUUGCAAGGGGCUCACUAAACAAGCAUAGGAAAUUAAAAUUCUAGCAGUACCUGAAUUUAAACCAAAUGGGUACAAAAUCCCACAAAUAUUAACAAGGCAAAUAACAAUCCAGGGUGGAAACACUUUUCUGCUGACAUGUAAAACACACAGCAACUUUUCACUUAUGACAAGCACUGAAGUAAAGAGACAAACUGAUUGUACUGUAUGAAGACUACAUUUGCAUUGUUGUUAAUGAUAAUUUGGCAUUAGCACACCAUCACAACACAUGAAGACAGAAAGACCAUCUGGAAAAGUCACUCACUACAGGCAACAUGCUCCUGUCUAUGCGACUAAAAGAGGAUGACUUCUUAUGAAACAUGUCUAAAGAACAUAACAUAAUUAACCAAUUCGUUUAUUUUUUUUUAAAUCCUGCCAUUUGGUGUGUUUUAAAACGUUUUUGUGAAAAUAAUGACCCACUGUUGCUGUGCUUACAUCACAAACAAGACAGACUAACCGGAAUAUAUCAAAGACGCCUGAUGUACCGUCAGAGACCUGAGAAAUUUCUCUUAGUAUAUACACUGUGGUUUUCAGAAUUUCCUCAUACGCUGACCAUAUUGCUAUAUCAGUGGCUUUGAAAGGCAAUGACCAACCAUGUCAAUGUCUCAUCCAGUCACAGAGGUUCAUGAAAGGUUAGGAGGAUAAGGAGUAACACCCCAUGCCUGUCUUCCUCUUAUUGCUCAAUUUUUCUCUCACAGUGCAUGUCAGAAUACAGUACAAAAUGAGUACACCUCAAGUACUCGAACACUGCAGCAUCAGCCAGCACAGUGUCAUUUUGUGUGAAAGUUAAAGGCCAACCUCAGAGUACAAACAGCCAAGGAACAAUCCACCCUGAAACACAUUUAAAUGGCUUUAAGACAAAGAAUAAUACAUAUUUUUUUUAUGAAAUUGGAUAAUUCACUAAGUAAUUGCCUUUGUGGUCUGUAACUAGGCCGGUCAAAUGUGUCCUCCAUUGACAACAACACCUUGUGUCUGUGUCUAU